This is a long non-coding RNA of Xiphophorus couchianus (Monterrey platyfish), 341 nucleotides long. RefSeq lists it as uncharacterized. The record is from RefSeq and is a predicted model, not a curated record. The transcript has 3 exons. NCBI's taxonomy places the organism in Eukaryota, Metazoa, Chordata, Actinopteri, Cyprinodontiformes, Poeciliidae.
CUGCUAAUAAGGCUUGAAGCAAAUUACUACCUUUAUUAAUCCCUAGAAUUGUCACCUUGUUCGCACUUUUCAUCCGAUAGUGAACAGUGAGCAUUUGCAGAUGAGGGUGAAGAUUUCUCAAAGUUAUGAAGGCUUACUGCUGAGGUCCGACCCCUCUAAUGGCGGGAACUUUCCAUCUAGUUAGAGAAACAUAGUCUUUGUGAAGCUGACUCGAACAAUGCCACACAAGACUGAGUUUCUCUGCAGACUGCUUGGUUGAGAAUCUUGAUGGAGUCCUCUUUCUUCAUGACAUCGUUUACUUUAACACCCACAUAUUUGAAAUCCAUAAACACACUUGUGAG